RNAcentral lists this ribosomal RNA (440 nucleotides) under uncultured bacterium. RNAcentral's name for it is "partial 16S ribosomal RNA". It matches the Rfam family "Bacterial small subunit ribosomal RNA", at positions 338 to 795 of the family's 1533-position model. The record is from RNAcentral.
CCUACGGGGGGCAGCAGUAGGGAAUAUUGCUCAAUGGGGGAAACCCUGAAGCAGCAACGCCGCGUGGAGGAUGAAGGUUUUCGGAUUGUAAACUCCUUUUGUUAGAGAAGAUAAUGACGGUAUCUAACGAAUAAGCACCGGCUAACUCCGUUCCAGCGGCCGCGGUAAUACGGAGGGUGCAAGCGUUACUCGGAAUCACUGGGCGUAAAGCGCGCGUAGGCGGGAUAGCAAGUCAGAUGUGAAAUCCUAUGGCUUAACCAUAGAACUGCAUUUGAAACUGUUAUUCUAGAGUAUGGGAGAGGUAGGUGGAAUUCUUGGUGUCGGGGUAAAAUCCGUAGAGAUCAAGAGGAAUACUCAUUGCGAAGGCGACCUGCUAGAACAUAACUGACGCUGAUGCGCGAAAGCGUGGGGAGCAAACAGGAUUAGAUACCCUAGUAGUC